CAGCUGACCAGCAAGUGUCUGCAGUCCUCGGGAGCAGUACCAACACCUCUGGCCAUAUAAGUCUUUCAGUACCACAUGCGCCUAAUCAACCACCUCAGUCAAGUUUGGUUCAAUCCACUGCCACAAGCCCUUCAGGGCACCGACAAGGAGCAGCACAACUGUCCACAAGUUCACUGCUGGCCAGUACGCAAGGUUCCGGCAAUACUAGCACGCAGUCGAUCCAUCAACAUGGCCAAUCUGCGCCGGACCUUUUAACGCGUCAAGCAGCAUUAGGCGCAGCACAUCAGCAAAUAGCAACUGUCACGGCGGGCAGCGCUCAAGCCUCAGGCUCAAAACUCCAUUCCGGAUCAAGUGCGGGUCAUCUACCGGCUCCCUCACUUUCGGCUACAUCAACAGGCACAGGCCUUGUAGGACAGCACCUUGGAACAGGCGAGUCAGAAUGUGAC
Dermacentor silvarum is the source of this 446-nucleotide long non-coding RNA. RefSeq lists it as uncharacterized. The transcript has 3 exons. The record is from RefSeq and is a predicted model, not a curated record. Lineage: Eukaryota; Metazoa; Arthropoda; Arachnida; Ixodida; Ixodidae.